GGUCUCGUGGUGUAAUGGAUAACACGACGCCCUCCGAAGGCGUAAAUACUGGUUCGAUUCCAGUCGAGACUACCA
Molecule: transfer RNA, 75 nt
Filed under: Deltaproteobacteria bacterium
Lineage: Bacteria; Pseudomonadati; Myxococcota; Myxococcia
Description: tRNA-Arg
Rfam family: tRNA
About the family: Transfer RNA (tRNA) molecules are approximately 80 nucleotides in length.
Source: RNAcentral